ACCUGGCAUACAAUGUAGAAU
This 21-nucleotide microRNA is filed under the name Ornithorhynchus anatinus (platypus). RNAcentral describes it as "oan-miR-221-5p". Its record names the gene oan-miR-221-5p. The record is from miRBase by way of RNAcentral. Lineage: Eukaryota; Metazoa; Chordata; Mammalia; Monotremata; Ornithorhynchidae.